RNAcentral lists this ribosomal RNA (253 nucleotides) under uncultured bacterium. Its description in RNAcentral is "partial 16S ribosomal RNA". It matches the Rfam family "Bacterial small subunit ribosomal RNA", at positions 524 to 776 of the family's 1533-position model. The record is from RNAcentral.
UACGUAGGGUGCGAGCGUUAAUCGGAAUUACUGGGCGUAAAGCGUGCGCAGGCGGUCUUGCAAGACAGGUGUGAAAUCCCCGGGCUUAACCUGGGAACUGCACUUCAGACUGCAAGUCUGGAGUACGGCAGAGGGGGGUAGAAUUCCGCGUGUAGCGGUGAAAUGCGUAGAGAUGUGGAGGAAUACCGAUGGCGAAGGCAAUCCCCUGGGCCGAUACUGACGCUCAUGUGCGAAAGCGUGGGGAGCAAACAGG